UACUUCUUUAAUGUGUUUGAAAGCUUCCAUAAUAAAAUGUCUAAAAUCAAAACCGAAAUUUAUAGACUUAGAAAUGAUUGUUGAUGAGAUGUGUCUAUCUAAACUUGUCAGAUGUCACCAGAAUUCUGUUCGGUGAGAAAUUCAUCCCCUUUAAUGCAUUAAGGAAAUUUCGUUUGUGGGGCCAGUCUUCAUCAUCUUCACCUUAUCUACGCCUGUCAGAUAAAUAAAUGUGUUAAGGGAAUGAGUAAGUAUUUAUGUCAAGAAACCAGAAACAGAAAAAAAUAAAACCUACACAAGAGAAGUAGAGCACAACUAAAAAUAGAAAUUAAGGAUUAGACAGUAGUGGAUUUUAACCAAUGUUAAUAAUGACUAGGUUCUGGAGGAUCUAAUUAAGAAAAAGAAAAUGAAAGAUAAUACAUUUAGAAUAUUGACAAAGGUGGCAUAGCUACAGAUUAUCAAGAAAAAUUUGUUUUAAUUAUAAGGUAAUACUGUAUAUCUGUGCUAUAUGUAUUCUAGUACAUAAAUACAAAAGGGUUACUUAUUUUUUGCUGUAGGGUUCUGUUAUGACAGUUGACUCAAAUAGACCAAGAAGCAAAUGUGUGUAUAUGAACACCCUGUUUAAGAAAAAACUCUGGUAGUUGUAUAGGUAAAAGCUUUAAAGAAUAGAUAAUCUUUCACAAAAUUCUACCAAUUAAUUCCGCACAGUUAAUCCUGAUACAAACCUAGAUGAAGAUCGCUCCUAAAAAGCAAAAUCUAGAUCAACUUCCUUUAUGAAGAUUCUACCCAUCUUAAUUCUAAAUAAGAAUGUGAACCACUUUGGUAGAUGCUUCCAUUACCACAAUGAAUGUCUUCAAGGACAUCAUUUCAGACAUUAUGGUGAGUGAUUGUGUCGGGAGGAGGUAAGGAAGGACACUUUUCUUUGCAGCUCACAUCAUAUUCUGAAAAGCUUCCUGCUUGAAUUGAGGGUUAGUGCUUUUCUGUAGAAUGUAGAAGAUUAUAGCUUGGUCCUUGAUAUGUGUAUAUUAGACAUGAUUAAAUAGUCUGUUAAAUAGUGAUUAGGACAUAAACCAUUUUCAGUUGUAAUAAAAAUGCUAUAUUGAAUAUCA
Molecule: long non-coding RNA, 1106 nt
Organism: Lynx canadensis (Canada lynx)
Lineage: Eukaryota; Metazoa; Chordata; Mammalia; Carnivora; Felidae
Exons: 2
Source: RefSeq, a predicted model, not a curated record